Molecule: long non-coding RNA, 6970 nt
Organism: Oncorhynchus tshawytscha (Chinook salmon)
Lineage: Eukaryota; Metazoa; Chordata; Actinopteri; Salmoniformes; Salmonidae
Source: Ensembl
GGCGGUGAUACAGCCCGCCAGGAUGCUCUCGAUUGUGCAUCUGUAGAAGUUUGUGAGUGCUUUUGGUGACAAGCCGAAUUUCUUCAGCCUCCUGAGGUUGAAGAGGCGCUGCUGCGCCUUCCUCACGAUGCUGUCUGUGUGAGUGGACCAAUUCAGUUUGUCUGUGAUGUGUAUGCCGAGGAACUUAAAACUUGCUACCCUCUCCACUACUGUUCCAUCGAGUCCACCUGGCUUGACACUCAGACUGAACAACCCUACUUCUUAAUUUCUCAAAGGAAAAACAUCAACCAAUUUCUAAAGACUGUUGACAUCUAGUGGAAGCCAUGGGAACUGCAACCAGGUGCUUCAUAAAUCUUGUUUCCCAAAGAAAGCACAGUGAACAAAAAAAAAAAUCCUGGAUAGUUUGUCCUCGGGGUUUCGCCUGUCAAAUAAGUUAUGUUAUACUCACAGACAUUAUUUUAACAGUUUUAGAAAUGUUAGUGUUUUAUAUCCAGAACCAAUUAUAUGCAUAUCCUAGCUUCUGGGCCUGAGUAUCAGGCAGUUUACUUUGGGCACGCUUUUCAUCCGGACGUGAAAAUACUGCCCCCUAUCCCAAACAGGUUAAAGGAAAUUCUUGUUAGCAGGCAAUAUUAACUAGGGAAAUUGUGUCACUUCUCUUGCGUUCUGUGCAAGCAGAGUCAGCGUAUAUGCAGCAGUUUGGGCCGCCUGGCUCGUUGUGAACUGUGUGAAGACCAUUUCUUCCAAACAAAGACCAUAAUUAAUUUGCCAGAAUUUUACAUAACUAUGACAUAACAUUGAAGGUUGUGCAAUGUAACAGCAAUAUUUAGACUUAUGGAUGCCACCCGUUCAAUAAAAUACGGAACGGUUCCGUAUUUCACUGAAAGAAUAAAAGUUUUGUUUUCGAAAUGAUAGUUUCCGGAUUUGACCAUAUUAAUGACCUAAGGCUCGUAUUUCUGUGUGUUUAUUAUAUUAUAAUUAAGUCUAUGAUUUGAUAUUUGAUAGAGCAGUCUGACUGAGUGGUGGUAGGCAGCAGCAGGCUCAUAAGCAUUCAUUCAAACAGCACUUUCCUGCGUUUGCCAGCAUCUCUUCGCAAUGCUUGAAGCGCAGCGCUGUUUAUGACUUCAGACCUAUCAACUCUCGAGAUUAGGCUGGCAAUACUAUAGUGCCUAUAAGAACAUCCAAUAGUCAAAGGUAUAUGAAAUACAAAUGGUAUGGAGAGAAAUAGUCCUAUAAUAACUACAACCUAAAACUUCUUAACUGGGAAUAUUGAAGACUCGUGUUAAAAGGAACCACCAGCUUUCAUAUGUUCUCAUGUUCUGAGCAAGGAACUUAAACGUGAGCUCUUUUACAUGGCACAUAUUACACUUUUACUUUAUUCUCCAACACUGUGUUUUCACAUUAUUUAAAACAAAUUGAACAUGUUUCACUAUUUAUUUGAGACUAAAUAUAUUUUUAUUUUUGUAUUAUAUUAUAAGUUCAAAUAAAAGUGUUCAUUCAGUAUUGACGUAAUUGUCAUUAUUACAAAUAUAUAUACAGUUGAAGUUGGAAGUUUACAUACACCUUAGCCAAAUACAUUUAAACUAAUUUUAGUUAGUUAAUUUAGUUCUAGUAAAAAUUCCCUGUUUUAGGUCAGUUCAGAUCACCACUUGAUUUUAAGGAUGUGAAAUGUCAGAAUAAUACUUGAGAGAAUGAUUUAUUUCAGCUUUUAUUUCUUUCACCACAUUCCCAGUGGGUCAGAAGUUUACAUACACUCAAUUAGUAUUUGGUAGCAUUGCCUUUAAAUAGUUUAACUUGGGUCAGACGUUUUGGGUGGCCUUCCACAAGCUUCCCACAAUAAGUUGGGUGAAUUUUGUCCCAUUCCUUCUGACAGAGCUGGUGUAACUGAGUCAGGUUUGUAGGCCACCUUGCUCACACACGCAUUUUCAGUUAUGCCCACAGAUUUUCUAUAUGAUUGAGGUCAGGUCUUUGUGAUGGCCACUCCAAUACCUUGACUUUGUUGUCCUUAAACCAUUUUACCUCAACUUUGGAAGUAUGCUUGAGGUCAUUGUCCAUUUGGAAGACCCAUUUGUGACCAAGCUGUAACUUCCUGACAGAUGUCUUGAGAUGUUGCUUCAAUUUAUCCAUGUAAUUUUCCGUCCUCAUGAUGCCAUCUAUUUUGUGAAGUGCACCAGUCCCUCCUGCAGCAAAGCAACCCCACAACAUGAUGCUGCCACCCCCGUGCUUCACAGUUGGGAUGGUGUUCUUCUGCUUGCAAGCCUCCCCCUUUUUCCUCCGAACAUAACGAUGGUCAUUAUGGCCAAACAGUUCUAUUUUUGUUUCAUCAGACCAGAGGAUAGUUCUCCAAAAAGUAUGAUCUUUGACCCUAUGUGCAGUUGCAAACCGUAGUCUGUCUUUUUUGAUGGCGGGUUUGUAGCAGUGACUUCUUCCUUGCUGAGCGGCCUUUCAGGUUAUGUCGAUAUAGGACUUGUUUUUACUGUGGAUAUAGAUAAUUUGUACCAGUUUCCUCCAGCAUCUUCACAAGGUCCUUUGCUGUUGUUCUGGGAUUGAUUUGCACUUUUCGCACCAAAGUACGUUAAUCUCUAGGAGACAGAACGUGUCUCCUUCCUGAGCGGUAUGACAGCUGCGUGGUCCCAUGGUGUUUAUACUUGCGCACUAUUGUUUGUACAGAUGAACGUGGUACCUUCAGGAGUUUGGAAAUUGCUCCCAACGAUGAACCAGACUUGUGGAGGCUUACACGUUUUUUUUUCUGAGGUCUUGGCUGACUUAUUUUGAUUUUCCCAUGAUGUCAAAGAUGCACUGAGUUUGAAGGUAGGCCUUGAAAUACAUCCACAGGUACACCUCCAAUUGACUCAAAUGAUGUCAAUUAGCCUAUCAGAAGUUUCUAAAGCCAUGACAUCCUUUUCUGUAAUUUUCCAAGCUGUUUAACGGCACAGUCAACUUAGUGUAUGUAAACUUCUGACCCACUGGAAUUGUGAUACAGUGAAUUAUAAGUGAAAUAAUCUGUCUGUAAACAAUUGUUGGAAAAAUGACUUGUGUCAUGCACAAAGUAGAUGUCCUAACCGACUUCCCAAAACUAUAGUUUGUUAACAAGAAAUGUGUGGAGUGGUUUAAAAAUGUGUUUUAAUGAUUCCAACCUAAGUGUAUUGAAACUUCAGACUUCAACUGUAUAUAUAAAAAUCGUCCGAUUAAUCGGUAUCGGCUUUAUUUGGUCCUCCUAUAAUCGUUAUCGGUGUUAAAAAAUCAUAAUCGGUCGACCGCUAGUCUAAAUACUUUCCGAAUACACUGUAUAUCAGCACUGUGUCCUUAGGUCCAGGGUUGGGGUCAAUUCCAUUCAGGAAGUCCACUGGAAUUGGAAUUUCGUUUCAAUUCCUGAAUUGACCCCGAUCCCAUUGUCUUCCGUUAGAUGGUGUCUUUCUAACGCAGACGGCCGUCGUGCUAUCUGACGUAAGACAAUGCCCCGACCCUUUAAGCAAGAACACAUUUCUCUUUUGACACUUUGGAUUUCAGCGGUUUGUUCCCCUGAAGCUGUCUGAAUGUGAUGCAAACCCAAAGGGUUUUCUUUCUUCUUUGUGGCAAUGGAGUUAACACUUGGCAUGUUAAUGUAUCGUCAUGUUAAUUUGUUGGGGAUCUUGAACGGACACUCCUGACUAUGCCUGUCCCAGGUAUGACCGUUCUUUCUUACCUCAUUGUCUGUCGUCAGGUGGUGAAUGACCUACUCUUUAGCGGCUCCAGUGACACGUCUAUCCACGCCCACAACAGCCACAUGGGUGAGCUGGUCUGUAUCUAUAAGGUUCACAGCAACGCAGUCACGGCAUUGGCCAUCUUGGAUAAGGUCAUGGUGACAGCCUGCCUGGACAAGCUGGUGCACAUCUCCAAGAGUUCUCAGUUGUCUUGAAAGCACCACAAAUCCAGAGAAUGCCAGACUUUGAUGACAAAAUUUGCCCAUGAAGGACCACCACGCCACCUUCCUGUUCAAGUAAGCGCAGCACAACAAGGUAGUCUCUGCCCACCAUUGAGAGCAUCCUGUCGGGCUGUAUCACUGCCUGGUACGGCAACUGCACCGUCUUCAACCGCAGGGCUCUCCAGAGGGUGGUGCGGUCUGCCCAACACAUCACCGGGGGCAUACUGCCUGUCCUCCAGGACAUCUACAGCACGCGAUGUCACAGGAAGGCCUAAAAGAUCAUCAAGGACACCAGCCACCCAAGCUACGGCCUGUUCACCCCGCUAUCAUCCAGAAGGCAAGGUCAGUACAGGUGCAUCAAAGCUGGGACCGAGAGACUGAAAAACAGCUUCUAUCUCAAGGCCAUCAGACUGUUAAAUAGCCAUCACUAGCCAGCCUCCAUCCAGUACCCUGCCCCUCACUGUCACCAGCUGACUACCACCCGGUUACUCAACCCUGAACCUUAGAGGCUGCUGCCCUAUGUACAUAGACAUGGAAUCACUGGUCACUUUAGUAAUGUUUACAUACUGUUUUACUAAACUCAUAUGUAUAAUACAAGGACAUCCUGUUCCACUAUUGCUGUACACAUACAUAUACACACACAUAUAUAUGUGGUGGGAUGUAUAAACAUUAUGGACAGCAUGUGGAUAGAAUAUGUGGUAUAUCUGAAGAAUACGUAGGACAGAAUAGUAUAUUAUACUAUAUAUUUAUACUCUGUACUCCAACAUUGCUCAUCCUAAUAUUUCUAUAUUUCUUAAUUCCAUUAUUUUACUUUUAGAGUUGUGUGUAUUGUUAAAUAUUGCUGCACUGUUGGAGCUAGGAACACCAGCAUUUCGCUACACCCACAAUAACAUCUGCUAAAAAUGUGUAUGCGACCAAUACGAUUUGAUUUGAUUCCCUUACACUGGCUUAUGUUUUUAUGAACUGUGUUACAAACAUGGGCUGGUGUAGCUUGGCCCAACAGCCCCAGUUCUCAGGCAGGCAUUUAGCAGAUGUUGUGGGAAAGGUGUUUCUCUUACACAGCACACAAACGCACAUGCAGACCACGCAGACACACACACACACUCUGCUGCAGAUGUCUGUCUUUUACAGGGAGGAGUGCAGUAACUACGGGGCCACUAAUUUGCUCCUCCAUCCAGAUUUCCUUCUCACCUGGCUCAAACUCUCACACCAUCUUUCCCUCCUCACUCUCUCUUCCAACAUGAAAGCUCCUUGAUUGCACCCCCAGCUGUCUGCCUCUCAGACUAUAUUUUGCCUUUGCUUUUCACUGUGCCAGUGUUCCCGGAUGGUAUGGUCUCAGUUUGGACAGGAACUGCUAGUAAGCGAAUGAUAUGGAUGCUGCUAGAUAACACCUGUCUAAAUUUGAUCUUUUCACAUUCAGGCCUGUCAUGACCUGCUGAAUCCUACUUGGGCUUGUGUACAUUAGUGUGCUGUGUGCAGAUGUUGCUACUUGAAAAUGUUCACCAAGAGCAUUCUGUAGUCUUACCUAACUAGCAGAAAUUGUUAAUACGUUAGAAAUUAUUUAAACACACUUUGCUGUAGCCUACAAUUUACUAGUUAACAAAAAAAUAAUGUGUGUCAUAUAAAAUAUAUUCACCCCACCCAGUAUUGUAAUCAAAACUUACCAGAAAGCAUGUAGUCCUUGGCUCAGACAGUGUAGUAUUGUGGAUUGUUUGGCCCUGUCUGGGGGUGUCCUCGGAUGGGGCCACAGUGUCUCCUGACCCCUCCUGUCUCAGCCUCCAGUAUUUAUGCUGCAGUAGUUAAUGUGUCGGGGGGCUAGGGUCAGUUUGUUAUAUCUGGAGUACCUCUCCUGUCCUAUUCGGUGUCCUGUGUGAAUCUAAGUGUGCGUUCUCUAAUUCUCUCUUUCUCUCUCUCUCUCUCGGAGGACCUGAGCCCUAGGACCAUGCCCCAGGACUACCUGACAUGAUGACUCCUUGCUGUCCCCAGUCCACCUGGCCGUGCUGCUGCUCCAGUUUCAACUGUUCUGCCUUAUUGUUAUACGACCAUGCUGGUCAUUUAUGAACAUUUGAACAUCUUGGCCAUGUUCUGUUAUAAUCUCCACCCGGCACAGCCAGAAGAGGACUGGCCACCCCACAUAGCCUGGUUCCUCUCUAGGUUUCUUCCUAGGUUUUGGCCUUUCUAGGGAGUUUUUCCUAGCCACCGUGCUUCUACAUCUGCAUUGCUUGCUGUUUGGGGUUUUAGGCUGGGUUUCUGUACAGCACUUUGAGAUAUCAGCUGAUGUACGAAGGGCUAUAUAAAUAAAUUUGAUUUGAUUUGAUUCAAUAGCAUCUAAUUAGUGUGCAAGAUCAUGAGAAUCAGCUGUACAUGUGAUGGAAGAAAGCACUGUGCAUACAGAGGGUUGCAAUUCCAUUGAAUUGGGGAUAGUUUAACCAGAAUAUGCCACAGGACCUAGAAUUGCCUUGUGUGUCCCACAAAAAAAAAGGUUCACUGUUAUAAGCUAACUUUUUUUGAUGAAUUGAAGCAAAAUUCCCCAAAUUCCAGGGCUUAAUUUAACAUGGAAAAUAUCCGGAAGAAUUCAGAAAAUUUACCGGAAAGUUUCCGACCCGUUGCAACCCUAAUCUGGACACUGUACCAGCUUUUUUGUUUUUCCUGGCUGCUAGUUCCUGAUCUUUUGAACACUUCAAUUGAAGAGUCACUUGAAGCUUGAGAGGAAUGAGAGAUUUUUUUAAAUUCGAUUUUUAUAGAUUAUUUAACUAGGCAAGUCAGUUAAGAACAAAUUCUUAUUUACAAUGACGGCCUACCCCGGCCAAACCUGGACAAUACUGGGCAAACUGUGCGCCGCCCAAGGGACUCCCAAUCGCGGCCGGAUGUGAUACGGUCUGUAUUCGAACCAGGAACUGUAGUGACGCCUCUUGCACUGAGAAGCUGUGCCUUAGACCGCUGUGCCACUUGGGAGCCCAGAGAUGCAGUUCAGGAAUGCAGUAAAGGAAUACAGUGCUGAGGCAGAGGGCUCCUAGUGAGGACGACUGGCUGCUACUCUGAACUGUGUGUGGUGAGCUUGAAUUAUUA